This is a non-coding RNA of Aedes aegypti (yellow fever mosquito), 73 nucleotides long. The record is from Rfam. NCBI's taxonomy places the organism in Eukaryota, Metazoa, Arthropoda, Insecta, Diptera, Culicidae.
CCUCUCAUGGCGUAGUGGUAACGCGCCCACACUAGAGAUCGUGGAGUCGUGAGUUCGAUUCUCACUGAGAAGA